Molecule: non-coding RNA, 267 nt
Organism: Methanocaldococcus infernus ME
Lineage: Archaea; Methanobacteriati; Methanobacteriota; Methanococci; Methanococcales; Methanocaldococcaceae
Source: Rfam
GUAAGAGGGCUGGUGGCUGUCCCUCCAACUUAGGAGGGAGGAAGUUCCGCCCACCCCAUAAAGAGAUGAAGGGGCAACUCCCGAGAGGGAGGGAGAAGAGCAACAGAAACGACACGGCCCUGGAAGAGAUGACAAUGAUAGAAAAAGUUGAGGACUUCCAGGGAACCGGUGAAACGGGCUCUCCUCCAGCCCCUGAGGGGUGCAAGCCGAAAAGGCGCUUAGCCGAAUGCCACCGAAAUUACAGAAGGCGGGCUAUAGCCCUCUUAC